GAAAACGUGAAACAGAUUUUGAGGACCCUGGACGAGAGCCUACGCUCUCACCAUUGUGGAAGAUGCCCCAGGAAGAACAAAGCUCCAGUCAUCCUGUGUGCCCCGUCAUUCAUUCAGUUGGUAUUAAAGAGAGACUCUGUGAUGUUGCUGGUACCACAGCAGACACCAGGGAUGCAAAGGCGGCCCAGUUCCCUCAUUCAGAAAAAAUAUCAUCCAAAGGACACCUCACUGACAUCUGGCCUCCAAGAGAGAGGCAAGCUUCUGUGUCAGGAGAGGCAAACUCAAAU
This is a long non-coding RNA of Mustela erminea (ermine), 287 nucleotides long. RefSeq lists it as uncharacterized. The transcript has 3 exons. NCBI's taxonomy places the organism in Eukaryota, Metazoa, Chordata, Mammalia, Carnivora, Mustelidae. The record is from RefSeq and is a predicted model, not a curated record.